Molecule: long non-coding RNA, 4119 nt
Organism: Zonotrichia albicollis (white-throated sparrow)
Lineage: Eukaryota; Metazoa; Chordata; Aves; Passeriformes; Passerellidae
Source: RefSeq, a predicted model, not a curated record
ACGCUGACACCCAAGGUUUUAAAGCCAUAAAUACUUCAGGGUGACCUAAUUGUGACUUUUCAGCACCUGAAGGAGCUGAUGAAAAAGAUGGAGAGAGGGUUUACAAGAGCCUGGAGGGAGAGGACAGGAGGGAAUGGCUUCACACUGCCAGAGGUUUAUGCUGAGUAUCAGGGAGAGGUUCUGUUCCAUCUCCCAGCCCAGGAGUCAGUGCUUGCACCAGCCAGAGCUGCCCAGUGUUUCAAACUGAGUGGGAAGGAGCAUGGAUGUAAAAACAAGGUGAGAAAAUUCAGCAAAAUGCAGCCAGGCUGCCCAUUUUGGGGAUAUUUUGAUUUAAAGCCUCAGAGCAGCUUUCCCUGGUGCAUCCAUCCCUUGUGGGCCCUCACAGGGCUGCAGGAAUGGCUCCAGUGCUGGUGUCCCACCGUGCCCUGCCCAGCCCUAAUUGGCCUGUUUGUUUUGCAAUAAGUGAUUCCUGCCUGUCUUGGGGUGGAUUGUUUUUCACACCAUUAAAUGAAGUUCUGCUGUAUUGAUCCCUGUUUUUCCAAUUUGAAGCCUGAAAAGUGAUGAAGACAUUUUCUUGUUUUCUCAUGUACUUUUCCCUCAGUUCAUUUAGGUGACCUGUCUUUAGUUCCUUGCUCUGCUCGCUGUAAUUGCUUCUUCAGAGUAAUGUUACACCGUGAGCGCGGCUCUGCAGCCGGGGAUGGCUCCCUGGCAGUGAUAAGGACAGAGCAGAGCAGCGUCUGGCUCUGAUAAGGGCAGCAGAACAGCACAGCCUUGCAGAAACAGAUAAAGGACGGAAGUCAGGCAAACAGAAGCCGUGCAACACGCAAGCAGGAGGCAGCCCAGCUCUGCAAGGCUGGCAAAGCAGGAGCUGGGCACAAUAAUGAUGAUAUUGUGCUCGCUGAAAAGCAGGGGACGAGGAACAAGGAGACCAGGCUGAAUUUUUUGGCAAGCUAAGCUAAACUCUGCUGCAUCGUGAAACCGUGUGAAAGCUGCCAGUAAGGAGAUUGACAGGUGGAUUCACUCCCAUCUCUGCCUGGCCUGAGUGUGACAAGGAGGGGAAUAGAAGGGAGCUCUGCUGUUUUCCUUGGAGCCUGGCUUCUGCAAGCAUUCCCAGUGGCUGGCCUAUUCAUCAGGGCUGUUACACUGCUGCUGCUGCUGCAGAGAGGGAAGUACCUUUUUCUCUUCCUCUUCAUUAGCAUGUGCCAUGGUGUGAGGCACUGUGCUGGGGAGGGAACCCCGCUGCGAGCAGCACUGGGUAAACACAGCCGAGGUGACAGUGACAGUCCUCAUCACCGAGUGUUAGCAAUUCAAACAGCCACAUCAGUCAAGGACUUGGAGAGGAGGGAAAGCAGAAGGGAGAAUGUGACAGUUUGCAAACACUCCGCUGCGUGAUUUUGUCGUAGGUGUGUUCAUCCUGGAAGUGCCUUGGAGGAAAUGCAAAUGAAUUCUGUGCUGGACAAGUCUGUGUGCAAGUGAGGACUGAUGGGGCUUUGUUGGGUGUGGUGAGAUUUCUUCCUCUUGUAGAUUGAGAUAAUCAAAGGGCUUUUGGAAAAUUUCAGGAAAUCACCCAAUGCCAGGUUUUGCCUACAGGGCACGGCAGUCUUUACUAAUCCAUUAAAAAUAAGCAGGAGAAAGUAGUAAAACAAAAGCAGUGAUGCAAAACCAAACUCCAAAACUCCAUCAAGCAAAACCUGAUUGUUUUCCCUAGUUAAAUUUUGGGGUGUUUGAAAUGUACUGAUGUUUCCGAAAAUCACCAAUUUAAUCCUUCCACACUGCACUGGAAAUACCAAACCUAAGAAAUUUAGGAAAUUAGGCCGAAGGUUUUCUAUUACCCUGAAAUUUUGCCUUUGAGAAUUGAUAACACAGAUGGAAUUUCCUUGGGAAAGAAUUGAGUAAAGGAUGUUGAGGAAUUAUUUUAGUUGAACUGACUGCAAUGAUAAAAAUGAAUCCUGGAGUGGGACAGUAAAGGAACUCAUGCUAGAAUAUUAAUUCUGCUUCCAAUCAUCCAAGGAAUUCAGUCACUGAAGUCAGGAGUGAAUUCAGUCUGUCUGCUUUCCAAAGGCUUUGGGGAGGCCUUGCCAAUACUAUUCUCUCCUGCUGGAUUUGUCUGCAACUCUUCAAAGUUAUUAUGGAAAUAAUUUCCUCUCUGAAGAAGCAGCCGCCUCUGUCCUGCUGGUGUGUCUCUGCUGUGGAUUACUCCCUCUCACAUCACAUCUCCCCUCAGUCCUGCGAGGCAGCUGUGCCUGCAGGGUGUUGUUCAGCCCUUUACCCAAUUAUCCAGGCCCUGAACACCCAUCCCAAGCUAAUCAGGAAGGACAAUCUUCUCUGGGUGAAAACGCUCUCUGAGGACUCACCUCUGCCUGGCGCCUUCAGGGAGUGAAACCACUAAUUAUAGCAGAGGAGUGUUUGCAUUAUCUGCAUAGUGGUAAGAGCAGAAAGGGAGACCCCAGGGCUGAGAACCCUCUGCAUCAUGGGUUUGCUGUGCUUUUUCUGUGUGGGACUCCCCUCUUGGAAAAUCCCAAUCUAAACACAAAUGUGCAGAAUUUUAUUGAGUGUAAGAACAUUGAAUUUCUAUCUGUAAGGAAUAAUUCCUAUCUGUAAGGAAUAGGUAAUUCCUUUCUGUACCCUAUUAGAAAUCCUCAGCCUGCAGGCACCUGGGCAGUGUAAAAUGAUGAUUUAAGCUAUAUCAUCUCUGUGAUUUCUUGUCCUCCAUCACAGCCCUGCUGAUUUCAGCCUCCAGAAGUUCCAGAGCUGCCUCUCAGCACUGGCCCACAAGCUGCGCAGGUUGAGGAAGAUGUUGCCUGUUUUCUGAAGGACGGGAUGAAAUCACUCCACACAUGUCCUCUAUCUAUUGCUUCUCUGAGCAGGGAAAACCAAAACGCCUUUCCCACCAUUUCAUUUAUUGUCUUUCAUCUGUUUCCUGGGAAAAUCCCUUUUUUUAGUACUUUUGUGCAUGCAUGUGAGCCUGUGUGGGGUAGGCGUGCGUGUGUGUGUGUUUAGGAGGUUUAAAAAAAUUUCUUGCUGUCAGCAAGUGAUGUUACAAACCUGCUCUGACAAGGCUGGUUGUAUAUUUACAGUUGGUGAGAGCGAAGGCUUCAUCAAUCUUCACGCUUUGAAAGGGACAGGCCCGCUCCCAUGAGCACCUGCUCCGGGAGAACAGCUGAACUGUGACUUUCCAGGGAGCUGGCUGUAAAUUUUAGCCAUUCCCCCCGCAGCCCACGCAUGCUUGAGCUCUUUAACCUUCCCAGGCUGGCAGGAGUCCCAGCAAUCAGUUUAGUGCAAAGACUGGGGUUCUUUUUAAUUAACCUUUUGUUUCCCACUGCAGGUGUUUCAAAGUUUUAAAAGGAAAAGAGGGGGGGAAUAUUGUUUGCAGAGGUGCAUCCAGAUUUUCCAUGCUUGGUGAUCAAAGGGAAUCAGCCUUUCUCGUGUUUCCCCUCCACGUUCACCUCCUGGAUGUGUGUCUGUGCCAGCAUCCGCUGGGAAUUGGCGGCAAGGCUUCCCUUGGGCACCUGCAGAAAGUAUUCCUGGGAGUGCAGAAAAGGGAAGUACUGCCCUGUUUGAUCAAUAGAAUUAUUAGUAGGACAAGGACCUGUUGUAUAGCUAAGAAAAUUCAUGUGUGGGAAUUUAUCACAAGGAAAAAAAAAAAAGGCGUUCAAGCCCCACUUAAAACAAUAAAACAUAUCUUUGAGGGAAAGUUUCAGACUUUCUUCUAUAAAGGAAUAAUGGUUUCUAUAAUUUAAUAGGUGGUAAAUUUGGUGAGGACUGCCAGCAAAUCCAUUUCACAUAAUGAUAUUUUAUCUCCCUGGGUAUGGUCAUUUUCAUGAAUGUCUUUUUAUUGGUUUCCUUGUCCCACGAAGUGUCCAAGGUGGUGCUGCUCAUCCUCAAACGCCGAGCACAUACAGAGGCAGCGAUGGCUGGAGAAAACUAUUAAUAAUGGUGACACAAAAAAUGGGCAGGAACUGUGUGACAGUUAAAUGUGCUCCCUAUAAAUAAAGAACAUUUCUAUUUGACCCUCAGGGCUGUGGCUUUUCAGCACUUACUUUUGUAGGAGUUAAGGUGGUCACAGCUAUUAAAAACUAGAGAUAAGCUGCAAGGAAAUUCAGCUGAGGAUAACGGGGG